AAAUUGGACGGUAGUUUUCCAAGAGUAAAGGAUCUCCUUUUUUAAAUAUCAAAGUUAAUAUACUGGUACGUUGUGAGUAUGAUAACUUUUGUUUAUCGUAGCCGGUAUUUAGAACAUCCACAACUAAAAAUUUAAGUUUAUCCCAAAAUUGUCUAUAAAAUUCAACCGUUAGACCAUCAAGCCCUGGUGAUUUAUUUAGUUUCAUUUUAUAAAUGCCUUGUGUGCAUUCCUCUACUGUAACUGUUCCAUCGCAUAUCAGUUUAUCCUUUUCGUCUACUUUGUUUUCUAGUUUUGUGUCAUUGAUAUAUUUUUCAGUUAAAUUUUUAUUUGCAGAUUUUACAUUAUACAAGUUUUCAUAGAAAUUUUUUAUUUUAUGGAGUAAAUUUUCUUGAUUAGUAAUUAAUUCCCCAUCCUCUCCUUUUAGUUUGCUUAUUGAUUUUUUCACUUGCCUCUUCUUUUCUAGACCGAGGAAGUAGGAAUUGUUCUUUUCCCCAAACUCAACCCAUUUUUCUCUAGAUCUAAUUUGUGCCCCUUUUGCCUUUUCGUCAUAAAUGUUACCUAAUUCUUUUUCUAUAUCUUUAAUUUCUUUUUCCAAAUUAUGAUUUUCACUAUUGUUUCUCUCAUCUAUAAGUUCCAUCUUUUGUUCCAGAUCUUGUUCUAAACUACGCCUUCGCUCUCUUGUUAACUUCGCUUUAUUUCUACAGUAAGUUGUAGUUACUUCCCUUACCUCGAUUUUAAAUCCAUCCCAUAAAAGCCUACAAUCUAUUGAGUCUUUUUUAAAUAUAUAUUUAUCAAUUAAACAUUUUAUACGUUCUUGAUAAUCUUUAUUUUGUAAUACUGAGUUAUUUAUUUUCCAAUACCCAUUUCCCCUUUCUGAUAACCCUGGCUUAAAUUUUAAAAAUACACUUUGGUGAUCAGUAGACUGUAUAACAGCCGGUUUAAUUUUACACCAUUCUAUAAGAGGUAAAAAUUCUGACCCAAUAAAAAUCAUGUCUAGUCUACUAGCUUGUGAUUUAUCCUUUCUUCUCCAUGUAAAUUGCUGUUUAUUUGUGUUUAAAUUUCUCCAAACAUCCGUUAAUUUGUUAGUUUUUAUUAAUUGCUUUAAUCCGUUAACAGGUUGAAUAAAUUUACCAGGACAUAAAGACUUUCUAUCAAUUGGUUUAAGUGCAUCAUUAAAAUCUCCCCCUAGUAUAUGUAUACCAAGACUGUGUUCUUUCAAAUUAUCGCUUACUUU
RNAcentral lists this long non-coding RNA (1234 nucleotides) under Mytilus galloprovincialis (Mediterranean mussel). Lineage: Eukaryota; Metazoa; Mollusca; Bivalvia; Mytilida; Mytilidae. The record is from RNAcentral.